Meleagris gallopavo (turkey) is the source of this 2733-nucleotide long non-coding RNA. RefSeq lists it as uncharacterized. NCBI's taxonomy places the organism in Eukaryota, Metazoa, Chordata, Aves, Galliformes, Phasianidae. The record is from RefSeq and is a predicted model, not a curated record.
UUUUUAAAUAACUGUUUUCUUUCUUUCUCUCUCUUUUACAAAUUGCUUGUCCGCUCUAUUUUUAAACCUCUUGCUCUUCGGUUGUUCCCUACACCCCUCCCUAGGCGCCGUCCCGUUUGGCAGAUUUGGGUCUGUAAAGGCCACACAGGCUUCUGAGCAGAGAAGAAAAGGAGAAAGGUGGGCCCCUUUAUUUAAAAAACAAAAACAAGCCAACAACAACAACCCGAGGUGACCAUAAAUUUGAGCACGCCGUUUUCCUGCCGCCCGCCGUUCCCCCCGCCGCACUGCGCAGCUGCUCCCCGUGAUGCUGCCCCCUACCGGCCGCUCGCGUCACGACAGUUUGGGCGCGGAGCUCCUUACAGACAACCCCGCUUCUUUGUGUGAGAGCCAGUGCCUGUGCCUGGCUCCCAGAGCACCGCCUGCAGCGCAGUGCAACAUCCCUCCGCAGCCUUGUGCCUUAGUGAAGAAACUAUCCCAAAUAGUUUCUUGCUGCAUCAUGCUGUGCUGCGUGCUUUCUGGUGUUGACCUUGACCUUUGUUGGGACAGCAGUUAAAACAUUUAUGUGACAGAAGACGUUUUCUGUGUGUGAUUUAAAAAACAAGGGGAAAGCGUCUGACAUCAAACAACGUCAUCAGUGUGCUGCUGCUGACAUCAGGCACUAGACGAGUUACAUCGUCUGGGCUGCAGAGAUGCAAUUAAUCUUGUUUGCUGUUAACCAGGUGAACGCAGUCAGGAGAACAACAGUGAGCAAGCUGAAGAUUAGGGAGGAAUAUGAAGGAAAUUUGGAAGGUUUGAGGUUUUGAAAACCAUCUGGGCCGGAGAGCAUCUGAGUGAAGACCAGAAGGAAGGAUUCCUGCCCUGCAUAAGUGGUGCCACAUUUAUCCAGUGGCAUCCUGACCUAUUCCCAUAGAGAAGGCAAUGAGACUAAUCAGUGGAAGAUAUAUAGAGUGAUAUUUGCCAGCUUCCAACAACCCUCCUGAUUGGUUCAGGAGCACAGUGAAGAGGUGAGAGCAUAGCAAAGAGGUGAGGCUGUGGCUGGGGCUGGACAGGGAGUGCAGAGUGCCUCAGCCUGGGAAAGAGUCACAGCUCUCCAACCCAAACUGUUAUUUGAAGACUGAGACAACAUUCCUGGCAAGACUGGAGCUUAGAAAGAAGUAAGGGGACGAGAUGGCUCAACUCUUUGGGAUGUAUUCAAACACAGCAGGUGAAUUACAAGAAGAAAUUAAAAGAAGAAAAACUACACUGAGGAAAUUACUCCCUGCCAUGUUCUAUACCAACAUCCAGUGCACAACUAAUACCAACUGUAUUAACUGUCAUCCAUUUCCUUUGGAUACUGAAUGAAUAAGGACAAUGUCCUCUAUUUAUUAUGGAAUUAUUAUGGAAUUAUUCUUCUCUUGCUGUAUAAAUCAUACAGCUUGUUUAGUGCAGACAAGUAGAGAUGCUGUAAUCUGCAUACAGUAAGCAGCUACGAGAGAUUAAUUUCACAUCUGUGGACAAGCCUCUGUGGAGUACAGUGCACUCACUGCAGGGGUAAAAGUAGCUGUUAGUUCUAAUAAGGGAUUCAAUUAAAAAAAUCAUGCGUGUCUAGAAGCCAGACAAGGAGAGCAGUUGUGCAGAUUACUUACUAAUUACUUAAGCAAGCACUUAAAGUUAUGAAAGAAAGUAUAGCCAUUGGAAGCUGCCAGGACUUUCAGCAUCUAGAUUAGGCUCAGGUCCAUGCUUCAGCAUCAUUCAUUUAAGGGCCCAUUCUGACAUACCCAGUUCAAACAACUUCUGCUUUCUCAUUCUUUCCAUCAGUCACUCAAAAGCAGCUCUGAGUUUAUACAAGGCACUGUGUUUACUGCGAUGGGGAAGAAGAUCAGGCAACAAAACAUCACAAAAGAUGUUUGAGUUUUGAAACCUCACAUUUCUGCAGCUACUCCAAAGUUGGAGCAGUGCUGGGGCUCAGUGGAGAGAGGACACUCAGCAUCACUGCUGGCUGUUGACUGCCUGGCUGAUGUCCAUCUUUGCUGGAUUGAUGGGGUCAGUGCUUUGUGGAAUUAUGUGCCUUACGAUUAACUUCAGCAGCAUGGGCCAUGUGAGCAGUGUAAAUGAGAGUGUUACCUUGAUGCAUGCACAAAAAAUGACAUUUAUCUUUACUCUUGGAACUGAAAGAGAAAGUCAGAUUGUGUGUGUGAGGGGAAUAGCAAACGGGACAAGGAUGCAAUCUCCUUGGUUCGUAAAGUGAUGCAUGCUUGGAGAAACCAGUGAGGGAGACUUGCAGUGCCCUUUCCUGAGCAGGGAAGAGAAAGGUGCUUUUGUCUGCUGCCUUAACUGUGUGCACAGAAAUGUAUCUGAAUUGUAUCUUAUGUAUUUCAGAGAGCAGAUAGAAACGGAGAAUGAAUAUAUGUUGGUAGCCUGUUACUUCUGAGCUGUAGCUGCUGCAUUUCUGGAAGUAUUGCACAACUGUACUGUAUCCAUCAUACAGCCUUACUGCUUUGAAUAAGUUCCUACUGAAUCUCCUGUCUGCCUCAUAUCAUUUUAUUUGCAUUUAUUAAAAUUAGGAAAUAUGGAACUGAAAUAAAAAGGUUAUUUUGUUAGAGCCCAUAACAACUAAGCUACCUUUGUUUUCUCUGUGCAUUUGCAUUACUAGCCCCAGCUCUGUCUUCUGAUAGGCUUUUUUUAUAACAGCGGUGACUGGGAAAUCCACCAGCUUAUUUCACUAAAUCCCCAUGUUUUUCUUCCUUGUGGACA